RNAcentral lists this ribosomal RNA (481 nucleotides) under uncultured bacterium. RNAcentral's name for it is "partial 16S ribosomal RNA". It matches the Rfam family "Bacterial small subunit ribosomal RNA", at positions 28 to 507 of the family's 1533-position model. The record is from RNAcentral.
GAUGAACGCUGGCGGCGUGCUUAACACAUGCAAGUCGAACGGAGCACUUUAUUUGAUUUCCUUCGGGACUGAUUAUUUUGUGACUGAGUGGCGGACGGGUGAGUAACGCGUGGGUAACCUGCCUUGUACAGGGGGAUAACAGUUGGAAACGGCUGCUAAUACCGCAUAAGCGCACAGCAUCGCAUGAUGCAGUGUGAAAAACUCCGGUGGUAUAAGAUGGACCCGCGUUGGAUUAGCUAGUUGGUGAGGUAACGGCCCACCAAGGCGACGAUCCAUAGCCGACCGGAGAGGGUGACCGGCCACAUUGGGACUGAGACCCGGCCCACAAUCCUACGGGAGGCAGCAGUGGGGAAUAUUGCACAAUGGGCGAAAGCCUGAUGCAGCGACGCCGCGUGAGCGAAGAAGUAUUUCGGUAUGUAAAGCUCUAUCAGAAGGGAAGAUAAUGACGGUACCUGACUAAGAAGCACCGGCUAAAUACGUG